AAGCGGGGGCACGUGGCCGCAGGGCCCCCUGCGUGGGUGGGGGCUCGGAAGGGGCUCAGCUGUGGGAGCAUGAGGCCGGGGCUUGCAGCUGGCGUGUUCCAGGUGGGGGCUGCAGGCCGGCCUACUCCUGGCGUGACGGGGUGACGAUCCCGGGGGCAGCUCAGUGCGGUGUGUGCCUGGCAUAGGGCGGAUAGGGGGCAUCUCGAUUUUACCCAUGUGGAAUGGUUAUCCCAUUUCCUUUUGAGGCGCAAAGCAGUGAAAUGUGAAAACCUUCCGAUUCCCUCUUCAGACACGUUUUUGUGGGCAGGAUUAAAAAAGUAGGUGAAGAGAGCAGAAUUCUUGCACUUGGCUGCAUGGCUUUGACAUGAAGGUUGAUGCAUGCAGUUUCAGUUCUUAAGAAACGUUCUGUGCUCCUCACUGUGUGUAAGUGCCAUGAAUCUUUAGCAUCUACUAACUUCAGUUCAUGAAAGUUGUUUAACUUCAGCAGUGUGAGGAAAUGCAUCUCUGUCUACUGCUGUAGAAGAAAUCUGAGCCCUUCAGCAGUAUUAUGCGUACUUACAGGGGACAAAAUAACAAUCUGCGUGAAGAGAGGCCAAAUAAUGACUUGUUCAUUGUUCCUACAUGCGGCUGAUGGGACUUCCAAAGCAUCAUGGACUUAAUUAUGCAGUUUUUGUCGACCAAAGAGCAAAAACUAUUAUACGUGUUCUUGAAAGUUAACCAGUGCAGGGAGCUGUGUGCCAGGCCCUAUGCAUCAGUCAAGGCACGUGUAUGGGAACUGUUGGGUCACGGCCUGAGCCACUGGUUGAGCACCUGAGGAAAGGACCUGGUCAACCCUGGGAGCACAGGUGAAGGCAGUUCAGCUGUGUGACCAGAAGGGGUGGAGCCUGGCUGCACCUCUCUUAGACCUCCUUGAAGGGCUGACUGCCACUGGGGAAGGAUCUCUUUUUGGAGAUCCCUCCUUGGUGAAGCUUUCCCUGCAAACCUGGAAUCUUCUGAUAUGGACCGACAGCAGCAAAGACUGACACUUUCAGAUUGUUGCCUGGAGUUAUCUGUAAAAGAGACAUGAGCCCCUGAAUUGUUCCA
This is a long non-coding RNA of Gallus gallus (chicken), 1083 nucleotides long. The record is from Ensembl. Lineage: Eukaryota; Metazoa; Chordata; Aves; Galliformes; Phasianidae.